AUUGGGUAGGGGAGCGUUCUGUAAGCGGUUGAAGGUGUGUGGUAACGCAUGCUGGACGUAUCAGAAGUGCGAAUGCUGACAUGAGUAACGAUAAAGGGGGUGAAAAACCUCCUCGCCGGAAGACCAAGGGUUCCUGUCCAACGUUAAUCGGGGCAGGGUAAGUCGACCCCUAAGGCGAGGCCGAAAGGCGUAGUCGAUGGGAAACGGGUUAAUAUUCCCGUACUUCUUACAAUUGCGAUGGGGGGACGGAGAAGGCUAGGUGGGCCUGGCGACGGUUGUCCAGGUUCAAGUGCGUAGGCUUAAGAGUUAGGUAAAUCCGGCUCUUUUUAAGGCUGAGACACGACGUCGAGCACCUACGGGUGUUAGGUAAAUCCGGCUCUUUCUAAGGCUGAGACACGACGUCGAGCUACUACGGUAGUGAAGUCAUUGAUGCCAUGCUUCCAGGAAAAGCCUCUAAGCUUCAGAUUGUAAGGAAUCGUACCCCAAACCGACACAGGUGGUCGGGUAGAGAAUACCAAGGCGCUUGAGAGAACUCGGGUGAAGGAACUAGGCAAAAUGGUACCGUAACUUCGGGAGAAGGUACGCUCUUGAUGGUGAAGUCCCUCGCGGAUGGAGCUGACGAGAGUCGCAGAUACCAGGUGGCUGCAACUGUUUAUUAAAAACACAGCACUGUGCAAAAUCGUAAGAUGACGUAUACGGUGUGACGCCUGCCCGGUGCCGGAAGGUUAAUUGAUGGGGUUAGACUUCGGUCGAAGCUCUUGAUCGAAGCCCCGGUAAACGGCGGCCGUAACUAUAACGGUCCUAAGGUAGCGAAAUUCCUUGUCGGGUAAGUUCCGACCUGCACGAAUGGCGUAAUGAUGGCCACGCUGUCUCCACCCGAGACUCAGUGAAAUUGAAAUCGCUGUGAAGAUGCAGUGUACCCGCGGCUAGACGGAAAGACCCCGUGA
RNAcentral lists this ribosomal RNA (947 nucleotides) under Vibrio parahaemolyticus. RNAcentral's name for it is "partial 23S ribosomal RNA". It matches the Rfam family "Bacterial large subunit ribosomal RNA", at positions 1223 to 2096 of the family's 2925-position model. The record is from RNAcentral. Lineage: Bacteria; Pseudomonadati; Pseudomonadota; Gammaproteobacteria; Vibrionales; Vibrionaceae.